This 314-nucleotide RNase P RNA is filed under the name Flavobacteriaceae bacterium. RNAcentral's name for it is "RNase P RNA component class A". It matches the Rfam family "Bacterial RNase P class A". Rfam says of the family: Ribonuclease P (RNase P) is a ubiquitous endoribonuclease, found in archaea, bacteria and eukarya as well as chloroplasts and mitochondria. Its best characterised activity is the generation of mature 5'-ends of tRNAs by cleaving the 5'-leader elements of precursor-tRNAs. Lineage: Bacteria; Pseudomonadati; Bacteroidota; Flavobacteriia; Flavobacteriales; Flavobacteriaceae. The record is from RNAcentral. RNAcentral also lists the same sequence under 1 other name.
CAAGCAGGUCAGCCUGUCGCCCUGGCCACAGCGCCGGGGAGGAAAGUCCGGACACCGCAGUGCAGCAUAGCGGGUAACACCCGUCCACCGUGAGGUGAGGACCAGUGCAACAGAAAGCAAGUACAGUUCGGCUGUAGUGAAAUCAGGUAAACUCUAUGCGGUGAAACGCCAUAUAGGUCGGCAAUCGAAGGUGGCACGCCUGAGCCGAUGGGUAGGCGGAUCGAACCAUGGGGUAACUCAUGGUCCAGAUAAAUGACAGGAACCCCUUUCGCAAGAUCGGGUUAACAGAAUCCGGCUUAUGACCUGCUUUUUAU